Molecule: non-coding RNA, 136 nt
Organism: Hordeum vulgare subsp. vulgare (domesticated barley)
Lineage: Eukaryota; Viridiplantae; Streptophyta; Magnoliopsida; Poales; Poaceae
Source: Rfam
CAUAUACUCCCUCCGUCCCAAAAUUAUUGUCUUAGGUUUGUCUAGAAAUGAAUGUAUCAAAAUACUAAAACAUGAUUAGAUACAUUUAUAUCUAAACAGAUUUAAGACAAGAAUUUUGAGACGGAGGGAGUACAUU